GAUGAAGAACGUAGCGAAAUGCGAUAAGUAAUGUGAAUUGCAGAAUUCAGUGAAUCAUCGAAUCUUUGAACGCACAUUGCGCCCUCUGGUAUUCCGGGGGGCAUGCCUGUUCGAACGUCAUUAUAACCACUCAAGCUCUCGCUUGGUAUUGGGGCUCGCGGUUCCGCGGCCCCUAAAAUCAGUGGCGGUGCCUGUCGGCUCUACGCGUAGUAAUACUCCUCGCGAUUGAGUCCGGUAGGUCUACUUGCCAGCAACCCCCAAUUUUUACAGGUUGACCUCGGAUCAGGUAGGGAUACCCGCUGAACUUAAGCAUAUCAAUAAGCGGAGGA
Molecule: unclassified non-coding RNA, 329 nt
Filed under: soil metagenome
Description: partial contains 5.8S ribosomal RNA, internal transcribed spacer 2, and large subunit ribosomal RNA
Rfam family: 5.8S ribosomal RNA (bases 1-120)
Source: RNAcentral